This 668-nucleotide ribosomal RNA is filed under the name Priestia flexa. RNAcentral's name for it is "bacterial SSU rRNA". It matches the Rfam family "Bacterial small subunit ribosomal RNA", at positions 56 to 705 of the family's 1533-position model. The record is from RNAcentral. Lineage: Bacteria; Bacillati; Bacillota; Bacilli; Caryophanales; Bacillaceae.
UGCAAGUCGAGCGAACUGAUUAGAAGCUUGCUUCUAUGACGUUAGCGGCGGACGGGUGAGUAACACGUGGGCAACCUGCCUGUAAGACUGGGAUAACUCCGGGAAACCGGAGCUAAUACCGGAUAACAUUUUCUCUUGCAUAAGAGAAAAUUGAAAGAUGGUUUCGGCUAUCACUUACAGAUGGGCCCGCGGUGCAUUAGCUAGUUGGUGAGGUAACGGCUCACCAAGGCAACGAUGCAUAGCCGACCUGAGAGGGUGAUCGGCCACACUGGGACUGAGACACGGCCCAGACUCCUACGGGAGGCAGCAGUAGGGAAUCUUCCGCAAUGGACGAAAGUCUGACGGAGCAACGCCGCGUGAGUGAUGAAGGCUUUCGGGUCGUAAAACUCUGUUGUUAGGGAAGAACAAGUACAAGAGUAACUGCUUGUACCUUGACGGUACCUAACCAGAAAGCCACGGCUAACUACGUGCCAGCAGCCGCGGUAAUACGUAGGUGGCAAGCGUUAUCCGGAAUUAUUGGGCGUAAAGCGCGCGCAGGCGGUUUCUUAAGUCUGAUGUGAAAGCCCACGGCUCAACCGUGGAGGGUCAUUGGAAACUGGGGAACUUGAGUGCAGAAGAGAAAAGCGGAAUUCCACGUGUAGCGGUGAAAUGCGUAGAGAUGUGGAGGA